UACGGAGGGGGCGAGCGUUAUUCGGAAUUAUUGGGCGUAAAGGGCGCGUAGGCGGCUCUUUAAGUCAAAGGUGAAAUCCCUCGGCUCAACUGAGGAACUGCCUUUGAAACUGAAGAGCUUGAGUCCGGGAGGGGGUAGCGGAAUUCCCAGUGUAGCGGUGAAAUGCGUAGAUAUCGGGAGGAACACCAGUGGCGAAGGCGACUACCUGGCCUGUUCUUGACGCUGAGGCGCGAAAGCUAGGGGAGCAAACGGG
Molecule: ribosomal RNA, 253 nt
Filed under: uncultured bacterium
Lineage: Bacteria
Description: partial 16S ribosomal RNA
Rfam family: Bacterial small subunit ribosomal RNA
Source: RNAcentral